UGGGGAAUAUUGCGCAAUGGACGAAAGUCUGACGCAGCGACGCCGCGUGGGUGAAGAAGUCUUUCGGGAUGUAAAGCCCUUUCGGGUGGGAAGAUAAUGACGGUACCACCAGAAGAAGCCCCGGCUAAUUACGUGCCAGCAGCCGCGGUAAUACGUAAGGGGCGAGCGUUAUCCGGAUUUACUGGGCAUAAAGGGCGCGUAGGUGGUUUUUUAAGUCAGGUGUAAAAAGCAGCAGCUCAACUGCUGUUCGCACUUGAAACUGAAAAACUAGAGAUCAGGAGAGGAAAGCGGAACUCACAGUGUAGCGGUGAAAUGCGUAGAUAUUGUGAGGAACACCAGUUGCGAAAGCGGCUUUCUGGACUGAAUCUGACACUGAGGCGCGAAAGCGUGGGGAGCAAAC
RNAcentral lists this ribosomal RNA (400 nucleotides) under uncultured bacterium. Its description in RNAcentral is "bacterial SSU rRNA". It matches the Rfam family "Bacterial small subunit ribosomal RNA", at positions 355 to 773 of the family's 1533-position model. The record is from RNAcentral.